This 253-nucleotide ribosomal RNA is filed under the name uncultured bacterium. RNAcentral's name for it is "partial 16S ribosomal RNA". It matches the Rfam family "Bacterial small subunit ribosomal RNA", at positions 524 to 776 of the family's 1533-position model. The record is from RNAcentral.
UACGGAGGGUGCGAGCGUUAAUCGGAAUUACUGGGCGUAAAGGGUGCGUAGGUGGUUAAUUAAGUUAUCUGUGAAAUCCCUGGGCUUAACCUGGGCAGGUCAGAUAAGACUGGUUGACUCGAGUAUAGGAGAGGGUAGUGGAAUUUCCGGUGUAGCGGUGAAAUGCGUAGAGAUCGGAAGGAACAUCGGUGGCGAAGGCGGCUACCUGGCCUGAUACUGACACUGAGGCACGAAAGCGUGGGGAGCAAACAGG